This 70-nucleotide transfer RNA is filed under the name Mus musculus (house mouse). It matches the Rfam family "tRNA". From Rfam's summary of the family: Transfer RNA (tRNA) molecules are approximately 80 nucleotides in length. Their secondary structure includes four short double-helical elements and three loops (D, anti-codon, and T loops). Further hydrogen bonds mediate the characteristic L-shaped molecular structure. tRNAs have two regions of fundamental functional importance: the anti-codon, which is responsible for specific mRNA codon recognition, and the 3' end, to which the tRNAs corresponding amino acid is attached (by aminoacyl-tRNA synthetases). tRNAs cope with the degeneracy of the genetic code in two manners: having more than one tRNA (with a specific anti-codon) for a particular amino acid; and 'wobble' base-pairing, i.e. permitting non-standard base-pairing at the 3rd anti-codon position. Lineage: Eukaryota; Metazoa; Chordata; Mammalia; Rodentia; Muridae. The record is from Rfam by way of RNAcentral.
AGGGAUGUAGCUCAGUUGGUAGAGUGCAUGACUGGUGUUCAUGACAUCCUGGGUUUGGUCCCCAGUGCUA